CGGGAUCCCCGAGCAAUCGGGGUGAGAGUGGCGCACGGGUGAGUAACGCGUAUGCAACCUACCUUUAACUGAGGGAUAGCCCAUAGAAAUGUGGAUUAAUACCUCAUAGUUCUUUAGUUCCGCAUGGGAUUAAAGAUAAAGCUCCGGCGGUUAAAGAUGGGCAUGCGUGACAUUAGCUAGUUGGUAAGGUAACGGCUUACCAAGGCUACGAUGUCUAGGGGUUCUGAGAGGAUGAUCCCCCACACUGGUACUGAGACACGGACCAGACUCCUACGGGAGGCAGCAGUGAGGAAUAUUGGUCAAUGGGCGCAAGCCUGAACCAGCCAUCCCGCGUGCAGGAUGAAGGCCCUAUGGGUCGUAAACUGCUUUUAUACGCCAAGAAAAAACAGGACGUGUCCUGGACUGACGGUAGUGUAUGAAUAAGCAUCGGCUAACUCCGUGCCAGCAGCCGCGGUAAUACGGAGGAUGCAAGCGUUAUCCGGAUUCAUUGGGUUUAAAGGGUGCGUAGGCGGCUUUUUAAGUCAGUGGUGAAAUCCUGCCGCUUAACGGUAGAAUUGCCAUUGAUACUGAAGAGCUUGAGUACAGUUGAGGUAAGCGGAAUGUGUAGUGUAGCGGUGAAAUGCUUAGAUAUUACACAGAACACCAAUUGCGAAGGCAGCUUACUAAACUGAUACUGACGCUGAUGCACGAAAGCGUGGGGAGCGAACAGGAUUAGAUACCCUGGUAGUCCACGCCGUAAACGAUGUUCACUCGCUGUUUGCGAUACACAGCAAGCGGCCAAGCGAAAGCAUUAAGUGAA
RNAcentral lists this ribosomal RNA (799 nucleotides) under uncultured bacterium. RNAcentral describes it as "bacterial SSU rRNA". It matches the Rfam family "Bacterial small subunit ribosomal RNA", at positions 67 to 868 of the family's 1533-position model. The record is from RNAcentral.